GUGGCGUGCUGGGUACUAUUUUUCUGGGGUGGCCAGUCGGCUGGCAACUAAUAUGCGCCCUUAUAAUAUUACCCUUGAUAAACGAGGGCCGAAGGCACGAGCCAAGCGCCGCAGGUGCGAGAUUUGUCUAGAGGAGUCCGGGGGCAUGCCCCCCGGGAAAAUUUUUGAAUUUAGAGUCUCUGAAAUGCCAUUUCCUGGACUUUGGGGGAAGAUUUGACAGAAAUCUGAUGGUCAGGAAACGGCAUUACAACGUGUCGAAAUUUGAAAAUUGGUUUGAAUUUAGGCAAUGCUAACCACUUCCAGCAAUUAAUCUAAUCCCAAUUCUAUUCUCUACUGAUCUGAAUUCAUUUACAACUUACAGCACUUUUAUACAAUAACACACGGACCCCACGCAUAUGCAUGAUUCCCGUGAUCGCUUCGAAGCCUGAUCAAUAUUCCGGUAAUGAGACAUUGCGUGUGAUCACUGAUCAUGUUUCUAUAUGAACGAGUGAUUUCGUGUGAGUCGUGAGGUAGCAAAUACGGUUAGACAAAAUAGUUUGCAAUUUAAUAUACUCACUCACUUUGUCGCCUAUGCGCUUAGUCUGUUUAUAAGUCUAUAAACACAUCUUUCCUUGGCGGAAUUAGUAACUAUAUUUCUUCGAAUGCGUUUCUUCCCACCUACUUUCAAAAUUCGGCGCGGGAUCGG
Non-coding RNA from Paramuricea clavata, 685 nucleotides. Lineage: Eukaryota; Metazoa; Cnidaria; Anthozoa; Malacalcyonacea; Plexauridae. The record is from the annotation of a GenBank genome assembly.